UGGGGAAUAUUGCGCAAUGGGGGAAACCCUGACGCAGCAACGCCGCGUGAAGGAUGAAGGUCUUCGGAUUGUAAACUUUUGUCUUUGGGGAAGAAAAUAAAUAUGACGGUACCCAAGGAGGAAGCCACGGCUAACUACGUGCCAGCAGCCGCGGUAAUACGUAGGUGGCAAGCGUUGUCCGGAUUUACUGGGUGUAAAGGGCGUGUAGGCGGACCAAUAAGUCAGAUGUGAAAUGCCGAGGCUUAACCUCGGAGCUGCAUUUGAAACUAUUGGUCUUGAGUGUCGGAGAGGAAAGUGGAAUUCCUAGUGUAGCGGUGAAAUGCGUAGAUAUUAGGAGGAACACCGGUGGCGAAGGCGACUUUCUGGACGAUAACUGACGCUGAGGCGCGAAAGCGUGGGGAGCAAACA
RNAcentral lists this ribosomal RNA (408 nucleotides) under uncultured Eubacteriales bacterium. RNAcentral's name for it is "uncultured Clostridiales bacterium partial 16S ribosomal RNA". It matches the Rfam family "Bacterial small subunit ribosomal RNA", at positions 355 to 774 of the family's 1533-position model. Lineage: Bacteria; Bacillati; Bacillota; Clostridia; Eubacteriales. The record is from RNAcentral.